GUGCUCACUUUGACAGCAUGUAUACUAAAAUUGGAAUGAUACAGAGAAGAUUAGCAUGGCCCCUGCUCAAGGAUGACACGCAAAUUCGUGAAGCAUUCCAUAUUUUU
This is a small nuclear RNA of Erinaceus europaeus (western European hedgehog), 107 nucleotides long. The record is from Ensembl. NCBI's taxonomy places the organism in Eukaryota, Metazoa, Chordata, Mammalia, Eulipotyphla, Erinaceidae.